UGGGGAAUCUUGCGCAAUGGGGGCAACCCUGACGCAGCAACGCCGUGUGUGCGAUGAAGGCCCUCGGGUCGUAAAGCACUGUCAGUAGGGACGAUGGUUUCGUACUCGAAUAGGGUAUGGAAUUGACGGUACCUGUGGAGGAAGCACCGGCUAACUCUGUGCCAGCAGCCGCGGUAAGACAGAGGGUGCAAGCGUUGUUCGGAAUUAUUGGGCGUAAAGCGCGCGUAGGCGGCUAGCUAAGUCGGAUGUGAAAUCCCGGGGCUCAACCUCGGCCGUGCAUCCGAAACUGGUUGGCUUGAAUCCUGGAGGGGGCAGUGGAAUUCCCGGUGUAGAGGUGAAAUUCGUAGAUAUCGGGAGGAACACCAGUGGCGAAGGCGACUGCCUGGACAGUGAUUGACGCUGAGGUGCGAAAGCGUGGGUAGCAAACAGGAUUAGAUACCCCUGUAGUCC
Molecule: ribosomal RNA, 450 nt
Filed under: uncultured prokaryote
Description: bacterial SSU rRNA
Rfam family: Bacterial small subunit ribosomal RNA
Source: RNAcentral